Non-coding RNA from Otolemur garnettii (small-eared galago), 291 nucleotides. Lineage: Eukaryota; Metazoa; Chordata; Mammalia; Primates; Galagidae. The record is from Rfam.
GCUGGGUAUACACCUGUAGCCCCAGCUACUCAGAACACUGAGGUUGGAGGAUUGCUUGAGCCCAGGAUUCUGGGCUGUAAUGUGCUAUGCCAAUUGGGUGUCUGCACCAAGUCUACCAUUAAUAUGAUGGCCUCCCAAGAGCAGAGGACCACCAGGUUGCCUAAGGAGGGAUGAACAAGCCUAAGUUAGAAAUGGAGCAGGUUAAAACUCCCAGGCUGAUCAACAGUAAGAUUAAGCCUAUUAAUAAGCAUUGCACUCCAGCCUGGGCAACAUAGCAAGAUUCUGUCUCUU